AUCAGAAGCAUAAAGCCAGGGAAAGUGACCUAUUUUGAAGUCUGCAGAAGGAAGAUAUGCAUGACUGAAGCUGCGUAAAGCUUCCAGUAAUCUCUGAUAGCAUGAAGGAUAGCAGCAUCAAUAAACCAAGUGAAGCAGAAGAACUGAACUGCUUCUUCAAUGAAGAGCAUCUCAUCUCUGCAUCACAAAGUGCCUUGAGGCAAAGUGCAACCUUACACAGUUCUAUUAUGAACUAUUUAUCUACAUAAUACCAUUCAUGUUGUGCACUCUAUUUCAUCAUAGAAAGGAUAAAUGUUCAGAAAGCUCUCAUCCUAGUGCAUAAAUGAAACAGAAGAAUGAAAAAUAAUUGUAACUAUCCUGCAUGGAAGCUACUAGAUGGAAAACUGCACAGAGGUUUGGGCCAUUAAAAUGAUCUGCCACCGCUUAUGACAAACAAGAGAGUAGAUAUUAAGAACCAUG
Long non-coding RNA from Crotalus tigris (Tiger rattlesnake), 459 nucleotides. RefSeq lists it as uncharacterized. The record is from RefSeq and is a predicted model, not a curated record. Lineage: Eukaryota; Metazoa; Chordata; Lepidosauria; Squamata; Viperidae. The transcript has 3 exons.